UUCCUUUUUCCUAUGCAUAUACUUCUUUGAGGAUUUGACCUAAAGAGGUAUAGAGCAUGGGAAAAUGGGGC
This 71-nucleotide microRNA precursor is filed under the name Jaculus jaculus (lesser Egyptian jerboa). RNAcentral's name for it is "microRNA 202 (ENSJJAG00000000730.1)". It matches the Rfam family "mir-202 microRNA precursor family". Lineage: Eukaryota; Metazoa; Chordata; Mammalia; Rodentia; Dipodidae. The record is from RNAcentral.